Molecule: non-coding RNA, 1428 nt
Organism: Malus domestica (apple)
Lineage: Eukaryota; Viridiplantae; Streptophyta; Magnoliopsida; Rosales; Rosaceae
Source: RefSeq, a predicted model, not a curated record
ACUUCCCACUCCCACAUCAGUAUUUCCUCUACGUCUCUGGCUUUGCAAAUAAAGCGGAAUAGUUAUAGAGAGGAAAUAAACCGCCAGCCAAAAAUGGGUACAAAAUUUCAACGACGUCGCCUCAUAAACUCGAUUAGAAGCUUUCAAGAGAAGAGCAAAUGAAUUUUCAAUACAAAAAGGGAGCAGUGGUUUUGGGUUUUUUCUUUUAAAUUUUAGGAUGCCAAGUUUGGUAUAAAGAAAGCGUCGGAGCUGCAGCAAAACUUGCAGUCCAUUGAUGUUGUUGUGACUAAUGGGAGUAGUUCAUGUGAAGAGAACAGCUAGUGGAUUUGAUCUUAUCAUUUGCUGCAUUGCAUGGAAUUUGUAGAGUUGGGCUCAUUUGUUCUUCGUUUUGUCUGUUUUUCAGGCAAAAAACUCGGUCCUUCAAAUGGAGUCUUAUCUGCUUGAUGAGAUUCUACGACAUUUUUUAUGUGACGUGUUAAUUUUCAUGUAGGAUGUCUUCUGGGAAUUCCAGUGUGGAUGAGGAAGCAAUGCAAAGGCAUCUCUAAUAAUUCAUAUGCCUUCUGGAAAUUCCAGUGCCACGGUUCUGUGUGUUGUUCCCGUGGAUGAGGAUGCCUUCAGGAAAUUCCAGGGCGAGGGUUGUAUGUGUUACUCCUGUGGAUGAGGAGGUGAUGCAAAGGUGUAUGUAAAACUGUAUAAAGACCAUACUGCUAUUGAAGCAGAGAUAGGUUACUGAGCUAAAGCAUAUUAGCUCUUCUUCUCAGCGCAGAACGACGCCAAAAAGGUCACUCCAUUCUUCCUUCCGACGCUGCACCGACUAUUCUUGCUGCUCAGCGUGGAGGACGCUCUGGUGGUGGUUUCCGGGGUCGUGGCUCUUCCUACCGUGGUGGACGUGGAUCUUAUUCUGGUGGUCAUAAUUUCCAAACUGGACAUUACCACAAACCUGGAGGACCACGCUUUGCUAUCCUACUCAUGUUUGCAAGCUUCGUCGUUCUUUAUACGGCCUUAAACAAGCACCCCGGGCAUGGUUUCAGUGUUUUUCUCAUCACUUGGAGGACUUAGGUUUCCUUGCUUCCACUGCCGACUCCUCCCUGUUUACAUAUUUCAAUGGUGCCACUAUUAUUUAUCUUUUGAUUUAUGUAGAUGACAUUUUAGUCACUGGGAAUGAUGCAGCUCACAUUUCACGUCUCAUUGCUCAGCUUGGCCUAUUAUUCUCUAUGAAAGAUCUUGGGCCCCUUAAAUUUUUCCUUGGCAUGGAAGUCACUCGUACACCUACUGGCAUGUACCUUUCUCAAUCCAAAUACAUUGUGGAUCUCCUCCGUCGCACCAAGAUGACCGACUGCAAGCCAACUUCAACACCUGCUACUGCUGGUCGUCGUUUUAGUCUUCAUGAAGGGGAACCUCUUUCAGAUGCCACUGAAUUUAGAAGUG